CCUACGGGUGGCAGCAGUGAGGAAUAUUGGUCAAUGGACGCAAGUCUGAACCAGCCAUGCCGCGUGCAGGAAGAAGGCUCUAUGAGUUGUAAACUGCUUUUGUACGAGGGUAAACGCAGAUACGCGUAUCUGUCUGCAAGUAUCGUACGAAUAAGGAUCGGCUAACUCCGUGCCAGCAGCCGCGGUAAUACGGAGGAUUCAAGCGUUAUCCGGAUUUAUUGGGUUUAAAGGGUGCGUAGGCGGUCGGAUAAGUUAGAGGUGAAAUCCCGAGGCUCAACUUCGGAAUUGCCUCUGAUACUGUUCGGCUAGAGAGUAGGUGCGGUAGGCGGAAUGUAUGGUGUAGCGGUGAAAUGCUUAGAGAUCAUACAGAACACCGAUUGCGAAGGCAGCUUACCAAGCUACGUCUGACGUUGAGGCACGAAAGCGUGGGGAGCAAACAGGAUUAGAUACCCGGGUAGUC
Molecule: ribosomal RNA, 460 nt
Filed under: uncultured bacterium
Lineage: Bacteria
Description: partial 16S ribosomal RNA
Rfam family: Bacterial small subunit ribosomal RNA
Source: RNAcentral